AUGGCUGGCGCCCAAGGGCCGACGUUGCCGGCCACGGCAGAGGAGAUGGAGAUGGACAUCGAGCUCUCACGCCGGGGCUGGGGACCCAGCUUCGAGUUCGCGUUCGAUUCAGAGCGCUUCUCCGACAAGAUGCUCCGGAUAGAGAUCGUGUCCAGCGGCGAAGUCGCCGGAGGAUCCCUCCCGGAACCGGCGUGCCACCGCCAGGAGAAAGAGGAAAAUGCCCUUAUGGAGAUUUUAAGCUUUAUGUAUAGUGGGAAGUUGACAACAACUGAGCCCACUCUUCUGCUCAACAUCUUGAUGGCUGCCGAUAAAUAUGAGGUUCUUUCUUGCGUGAGUUACUGCAGUCAGCUGCUCACAAGGUUGCCCAUGACCACAGAAUCUGCGCUGCUCUACUUAAAGCAUUCAUGCUCCAUUUCAGUGCCAGUUGAAGUUGAACGUUUGGUAGUUGCAGCCAAGGAAUUCCUAGCCUUCAAAUAUGAGGAUGUGCUUGAGUUCAAGGGCGAACUUAAGAAUUUCCCUCUUGCUGGGAUCGAAGCCAUCUUCUCAAGUACUGGCUUACAUGUACGAACUGAAGAUGACAUAUAUGAUUUCAUGCUCAGCUGGGCCCGUGCGCGAUACCCAGAUCUGGAGGAAAGGCGCAAGAUCCUGAGUUCUAGUUUACUUCCGCUGGUGCGCUUCAGUCAUAUGAGCCGUAAUGGACUGCAGAAGGUCCUACUGUGCACUGAUGAUGAUAUAGACCAUGAUCAAUUCGCGGGGUUUCCAAAAGCUCAAAGUAACCCCACCACGGAGUCCCGAAAGAAGCCACUAGCCCACUACGACCGCGAAGCUAGGGUUUACGGCCGCCGCGUCCUCCCUCUCCCAGACGCGGCGGGGCAGAUGGCUGGCGCCCAAGGGUCGACGAUGCCGGCGGCGGCACCGGAGGCGGAGGCGGAGGCUGGGAUGGACAUUGAGCUCUCACGCGGGAGCUGGGCCCCAAACUUCGGGUUCGCGUUCGAUUCAGAGCGCUUCUCCGACAAGGUGCUGCAGAUAGCGAUCGUCGCCAACGGUGAAGUCGCGGGAGGAUCCCUCACCGAACCGGCAAGCCACCGCGCAGACAAAGGUACACAAGUUUUACGAGUAAGGACAAUGAAUGUAAGUUCAGUGAUUCUUUCUGCAAGUAGUAGCUUCUUUCACAAGCUUUUCUCAAAUGGCAUGAAAGAAUCUGAGCAGACACAUGCAACACUUGAGAUCGCUGAUUCAGAGGAAAAUGCCCUUAUGGAGCUUUUGAGAUUUAUGUACUGUGGAAAGUUAAGAACAGCUGAGCCUGCUAUUCUGCUAGACAUCUUGAUGGUUGCCGACAAAUUCGAGGUUCCUUCUUGCAUGAGGGAUUGCAGUCAGUUGCUCACAAGCUUGCCCAUGACAACAGAAUCUGCGCUGCUCUACCUAGACCAUCCAUGCUCCAUUUUAAUUCCAGCUACUGUUCACCAUUUGAUAGUUGCAGCCAAGGAUUUCCUUGCUAAAAAAUACAGUGAUGUGCAUAAGUUCCAAGAUGAAUUGAUGAACAUGUCACUUGCUGGGAUUGAAGCCAUAUUUUCAAGUACUGACCUACAUGUAGUAAAUGAAGACUGCUUAUACCGCCUGUUGCUCAAGUGGGCCCGUGCGCGGUACCCAGAACUGGAAGAAAGACACCAUGAGCAAAUAACUAAGUGUGUCACUGAGGUACUUCUGUGCAAAGCUUAUCCAGCACACAGGCCAGAUGAGCUUGCAGCAUGUGCAACCUCCAGUCAGCAAUUUGUAGACCGAGCUUACAAGUGCAGGCAUCUGAAAGUGGUUGCGUUUGAUCAACCCUGCCCACAGGUUAUAGCUUACAUGGAUUUGAAGCGUGAGGAAUGCUCCCAACUCUUCCCAUCAGAGCAGAUAUUCUCGCACCCACUCCAUGUUGCAGGUCAGGGUUUCAUUCUUGGGGCAGGAUGUAACAUGGUCCAGCAGAUUGGUUCACACAGAUUUGGCAUCUUCUUAUAUAUCAAUUUGAAGCAGAAGGGUUCAACGGGUGUGUCAGUAAAUUAUGAGUUUGCGGCAAGGACAAGACCAUCUGGGCACUUUGUGAGCAAGUACAAUGCUAGUCACACCUUUACUGAUAGUGCUAUAGUUGCAUGCAGGGAUCCCUUUUCGAUUCCAUGGGAGAUGUUCUUGGCUGAUGACAACCCUUUCUUCAUCAGUGGUGUGCUGCAUCUCAGACUUGAUUUGAAGGUGGUGGAGCAGACAUAA
Molecule: ribosomal RNA, 2247 nt
Filed under: Triticum aestivum (bread wheat)
Lineage: Eukaryota; Viridiplantae; Streptophyta; Magnoliopsida; Poales; Poaceae
Description: partial small subunit ribosomal RNA
Source: RNAcentral